Molecule: non-coding RNA, 2471 nt
Organism: Myodes glareolus (Bank vole)
Lineage: Eukaryota; Metazoa; Chordata; Mammalia; Rodentia; Cricetidae
Source: RefSeq, a predicted model, not a curated record
UGGCAGGCUCAGGGUUUGUAUUGCGAAAGGAAACUCAACCCAAAUUUGAAGAGAAACAGCUAGAUAUUUUUAGUGGUUCCAGUAUCUGGAGUCAUAAUCAUUUGGAGUGGCAGACCACUGGUGGGGAUGCUAGUGUGAUGAAGUAACCAACUGCUUUCUGCUUGGAUCUGAGGCCCACGCCCACUGAAGGAAACACAUGCCUGACUCUGCAACCCUGGUGAAGAGCCCAGGGGUAGUGAGGUCAUAUGCCUUAGGCUUGGAUACUCUUUCUCUGGCUGCCUCAGAACCAUGACAAGAGAAGAAAAUCUGCAGAGAGCAAAGCAAAAAGCAACAUAUUUGUGGCUCAAGCUGGAUGAGUGGAAGGGAAGAGAACCACUCUGUGGAUCAAAUGGGAUACUGCAAAUGAAUUAACAUAUCGAUGUGCACCGUGUACAAGAAGUUGAAGACGGAAAAAGUUCGAGCCACCCGAUCCCCUUGGCACGUGCACAGAAGAAGUAUCAACAAUUGCCAGUUAGAGCCUGGGUCCCGUGGAGAUGGCAGGGAUAGAGCCAACAGUUGUCACUGCAGCCUCCCUUUAAGACACGAUGUGGGGGACGAUCUACCUUCCUGUGGGUUUCCAAACGAAAGCUGGCUGAUGCCAUCAACUGUGACAGGAAAGCAGACCUACCAGGCCUUCAAGAGCAGCUCUGGCCAAUCUGGACUGCUAUGGAGAGGAACUGGACAUCCUGAUCAGAUGCUGAAACUCCCAAUCUGCACCCACUUUGGGCUCUCUUAUGCAUCCAUAUGGCGUUUCCCCUGCUUUUUCCUGUUUUGCUCGAUAAGGAUUAUGUGUUUAGACCACAAUGGGGUUCCUCCUACCCAUGAACAGGAGGACCAAUCAGGAGUCCAAGGAAUAUCUGCAAGCAAGACUCUUAGCCACGAGAUUUCUGAUGCAAAGGAAAGUCGUCAGUACUUUUGAUAAGUAUUACUAAACCUGUUCUUUGAGGUCAUUGAGGCUGAAUCCAUUUCAACUUCCAACUGCAAUGGAUGAGAGUGUCUAUUUCUCAAAAGUCUUGUAAGCAAAACAUGCUAUUUAAGUACCCCACCCCCAAACUCCUAAACAAAAAUGCUGCCUCAGCAUUUCACACUCUUCCGUUUAUUCAGGGCCACUUCUGGCUCUCUCUUUCUCUGUGACUUUCUGACCCAUGCCUGUAUAUAAUUACUAUUAAUUUUACUCUUCAGUAUAGUACCUAGAUGCUGCCUGUGGGUUAGGGAGAACCUUCAUCUGUGAUAUUAACUGCCAAUUCAUUUGACUUCACUUAUGGUGUGCAACCAUGGUUAACGUGAUGGUUAGCAUUGCCAGCUUGCCAGGAUCUAGGCUCUGCGCACGUCUGGGAGGAAGUUUACAGACUGAGUUCAUCUCGUGGUGAUAUUUUGUUUGUGCUCUAACAAAUAAAGCCUGACUGGAGCUAGCCACCAGUUAACCAUAGAGGCCAGGCAGUCGUGGCUCAUGCCUUUAAUCCCAGCACCUGGGAGGAGAAACCAGGACAGGAUCUGGCUGGGCAGAGAGAGGAACUUAGCCCCCUUUCAGGCUGAGGAUCUGGCCAGGUAAGAAGCAGCGGUGGCUUGCUCUUUUGUCUCUCUGAUCUUUCAGCAUUUACCCCUAGAUCUGACUCUGGAUUUUGAUUAUUAAGAGCAAUUAGAAUUCACACUACAAGCUGCUCCCAUGCCUUCCUCACAGGAUGAACUAUACCCUCUCAUGACGGACUAACCUCAGAACAGACCCUACCCUCACACGAUUGACUAUGCCUGCACACUGUGAUCCCAGCAAGUCUAUCUUUCCUGAGAGUUGCUUUUGUUAAAUAUUUUUUGUUUUGUUUUAUUUUCUUCAGGACAGGAUUUUCCUGUGUAGUCCUGGCUGUCCUGGAACUCUCGCUGAAGAUCAGACUGGCCGCGAACUCAGAGAUCCACCUGCCUCUGCCUCCUGAGUGACAAGAUAAAGGUGCUCCUCACCACUGUCCAGCUUAAGCAUAUUUUGUGGUUGCUUUCCUUUUUGUCUUUUUCAGAACCGAGGACUACAGUGAGGCCUUUGCACUUGCUAGGGAAGCACACUCCACCGCUGAGCUAAAUUCCCAACCCCCUUUUAUCAGUCACACAAUGACCAUGUACCUAAGAAGAGUGAGGAGCCAUGGGAGGAAACUCUGAACUACCAAGGAGAAUUCAGCCACCUGAGGAGAGAGGAGGUGGACAGAAACAUGGCAAACCAGGAAGAGGACUCACAUCCUGUUUAGCCUUUCUCUACGAGUAACCUCAACCAAUCCAGAAACCCGUCAAAGUUGCCCUCUGCCUUAUACUGAAGUGGUGUUACAGCGUGUAAGGUGCCUGGUUUCUGUUCAGACAUGUAGACCUGAUUGUGAGUUCCUGCCCCAUGUUCCCUCAGACUUCCGGGAUAUCUCAUCUUUCACAUGUGAAUAAACGGAAUUUUGACCGAC